CCUACGGGGGGCUGCAGUGGGGAAUAUUGGACAAUGGGGGGAACCCUGAUCCAGCCAUGCCGCGUGUGUGAAGAAGGCCCUCGGGUUGUAAAGCACUUUCAGUGAGGAAGAACGCCUGGUGGUUAAUACCCAUCAGGAAAGACAUCACUCACAGAAGAAGCACCGGCUAACUCCGUGCCAGCAGCCGCGGUAAUACGGAGGGUGCGAGCGUUAAUCGGAGUUACUGGGCGUAAAGCGCGCGUAGGUGGCUUGAUAAGCCGGUUGUGAAAGCCCCGGGCUCAACCUGGGAACGGCAUCCGGAACUGUCAAGCUAGAGUGCAGGAGAGGAAGGUAGAAUUCCCGGUGUAGCGGUGAAAUGCGUAGAGAUCGGGAGGAAUACCAGUGGCGAAGGCGGCCUUCUGGACUGACACUGACACUGAGGUGCGAAAGCGUGGGUAGCAAACAGGAUUAGAUACCCCAGUAGUC
Molecule: ribosomal RNA, 465 nt
Filed under: Vreelandella stevensii
Lineage: Bacteria; Pseudomonadati; Pseudomonadota; Gammaproteobacteria; Oceanospirillales; Halomonadaceae
Description: partial 16S ribosomal RNA
Rfam family: Bacterial small subunit ribosomal RNA
Source: RNAcentral